RNAcentral lists this ribosomal RNA (603 nucleotides) under Clostridioides difficile. RNAcentral describes it as "bacterial LSU rRNA". It matches the Rfam family "Bacterial large subunit ribosomal RNA", at positions 2022 to 2623 of the family's 2925-position model. The record is from RNAcentral. Lineage: Bacteria; Bacillati; Bacillota; Clostridia; Peptostreptococcales; Peptostreptococcaceae.
CAACAACAGACUCGGUGAAAUUGUAAUUCCGGUGAAGAUGCCGGAUACCUGCGACAGGACGGAAAGACCCCAUGGAGCUUUACUGUAGCUUGACAUUGGGUCUUGGUACUACAUGUACAGGAUAGGUGGGAGGCUUUGAAACCAGGACGCCAGUUUUGGCGGAGCCAUCCUUGGGAUACCACCCUUGUAGUACUGGGACUCUAACCAUAGGCCAUGAAUCUGGUCUUGGGACACUGUCAGGUGGGCAGUUUGACUGGGGCGGUCGCCUCCCAAAAGGUAACGGAGGCGCUCAAAGGUUCUCUCAGUACGGUCGGAAAUCGUACGUAGAGUGUAAAGGCAAAAGAGAGCUUGAUUGCAAGACAUACAGGUCGAGCAAGGAUGAAAAUCGGACUUAGUGAUCCGGUGGUUCUGCGUGGAAGGGCCAUCGCUCAACGGAUAAAAGCUACCCUGGGGAUAACAGGCUUAUCUCCCCCAAGAGUCCACAUCGACGGGGAGGUUUGGCACCUCGAUGUCGGCUCAUCACAUCCUGGGGCUGUAGUAGGUCCCAAGGGUUGGGCUGUUCGCCCAUUAAAGUGGUACGCGAGCUGGGUUCAGAACGUCGUG